UCAGAUUCUCGAAAUUAAAAU
This 21-nucleotide non-coding RNA is filed under the name Caenorhabditis elegans. Lineage: Eukaryota; Metazoa; Nematoda; Chromadorea; Rhabditida; Rhabditidae. The record is from RNAcentral.